This 494-nucleotide unclassified non-coding RNA is filed under the name Hevea brasiliensis (rubber tree). Lineage: Eukaryota; Viridiplantae; Streptophyta; Magnoliopsida; Malpighiales; Euphorbiaceae. The record is from RNAcentral.
AGCUCUGCCAUUACUGCCGGUUCUUGCUUUUUCCUUUGCUUUGAUAUGGUUUUGGUUGUCAUAGAACCUACGUUAUCAAAUGCCACCGUCAAUAAGUCAUCUGGAUCAAAAAGGUGAUGGGUGGUUUUCUGUAAUAUGUUAAUCACAUCACCAACAUGAUGAGUUAGAAGCAGCUCUUCUUCCUUCAUCUUAAAUAUAGCCAAAGCUACAUGAAACAGAACCUUUGCCCCCUCAAAGAAAAGAACAUCCCACACUCGCAGAGUGGUCUCUGAAGGCAAGCUCUUUGAGAAAAGGCACAAGAACCACUCAGUGGCAACAAGGGACACAUCAAACUCCAGUUCUUCCAAAUGAGCAGCUAUCCUUGGGCACUCUUUAACAAGCAAAUCCUUGAAAACCCUUUGCUCAACAUGGCAUCCUGACAAGUUAUUUGUGUAGCAGUCAUUAACUAAGACAUUUUCCAGGAGGACAGCAAGCAUCCAAAAAGCAUCUUCCUC